Molecule: transfer RNA, 83 nt
Filed under: Anaerolineae bacterium
Lineage: Bacteria; Bacillati; Chloroflexota; Anaerolineae
Also listed under: 1 other name
Description: tRNA-Leu
Rfam family: tRNA
About the family: Transfer RNA (tRNA) molecules are approximately 80 nucleotides in length. Their secondary structure includes four short double-helical elements and three loops (D, anti-codon, and T loops). Further hydrogen bonds mediate the characteristic L-shaped molecular structure. tRNAs have two regions of fundamental functional importance: the anti-codon, which is responsible for specific mRNA codon recognition, and the 3' end, to which the tRNAs corresponding amino acid is attached (by aminoacyl-tRNA synthetases). tRNAs cope with the degeneracy of the genetic code in two manners: having more than one tRNA (with a specific anti-codon) for a particular amino acid; and 'wobble' base-pairing, i.e. permitting non-standard base-pairing at the 3rd anti-codon position.
Source: RNAcentral
GCCCCUGUGGCGGAAUAGGUAUACGCAGCAGGUUGAGGACCUGUGCCCGCGAGGGCGUGCUGGUUCGAGUCCAGUCGGGGGCA